UUUUCUCAGAAUGCAUGUGGCACUUCAUUGUUCUGAAAGUGAUGGACAGUAUUUUCCCCGAUGUUUUUAACAGAAUGAUACAACAUCCCAGGCAUACAGGACAAAUAAACUGGGGUUGCCAGAAACCAGCUGGUGUUACUGGAGAAAGAGUUCAACUAAAUGAACCUUAUUUGGUCCAUUCAUUCUGAAACAAACACAGUAGCAACAUCAGCAGCUGGGUGAGUAUAUGAAUACAAUGGAGAUGAGCCACAGUUAAACAAAACUGGAAAUCCCUUAAUUCAGUUUUGCUAAUACAAACACUUUUCCUCGGUUCACAGAAACCAAAGUAUAAGAGAUAUGAAAUUGGUUUCAAACAGCUUCUGGUCUAGUCAGAUUCCGUUCUAAGAGAAACUUGACUUUUCUUUUACUUUAUAAGUAUUUUAAGACAAUCUAUCCUCUGGCAUACUUAAAUAGGUGGAUGACGACGACAAUAAAUAUAAUUGUCCUUCAAAAAACAAUUCCAAUUUCCUCAAGUGUUACAACAUAGAGUCAGAGGUGUUUUUCAAAUGGAUAUUCCAAAAA
This is a non-coding RNA of Anolis sagrei ordinatus, 561 nucleotides long. The record is from RefSeq and is a predicted model, not a curated record. Lineage: Eukaryota; Metazoa; Chordata; Lepidosauria; Squamata; Anolidae.